Molecule: non-coding RNA, 115 nt
Organism: Mycena leptocephala
Lineage: Eukaryota; Fungi; Basidiomycota; Agaricomycetes; Agaricales; Mycenaceae
Source: the annotation of a GenBank genome assembly
GGCCUGAUGGUCUAGUAGUAUGAUUCCUUGUUAGGGUAACGUGGUGGGUAACGUGAUGUUUCCCACCGUCACGUGACUUUCGAGGAGGUCCCGGGUUCAAUUCCCGGUUAGGCCC